ACCUGCUGACUCUUUUCAAGACUUUAUUCACUAACACUAGGUCCAACACAAAGCACUAGGUUCAAACACUAAGCACUAAGUUCAAACACUAAGCACUAAGUUCAAACACUAAGCGCUCACAAUGUCCUCAGUCGUAGCCAAUGUCGUAGGUAUCGCUGGUACCACUCUUGAUCACUAGUUUUCACUCUUGAAGUCGCCUCGAAGAUCGCUCAAACUGAACUG
This 222-nucleotide unclassified non-coding RNA is filed under the name Melitaea cinxia (Glanville fritillary). RNAcentral's name for it is "misc RNA ENSMCXG00005011798.1". The record is from RNAcentral. Lineage: Eukaryota; Metazoa; Arthropoda; Insecta; Lepidoptera; Nymphalidae.